CGGGUGAGUAACACGUGGAUAACCUACCUAUAAGACUGGGAUAACUUCGGGAAACCGGAGCUAAUACCGGAUAAUAUUUUGAACCGCAUGGUUCAAAAGUGAAAGACGGUCUUGCUGUCACUUAUAGAUGGAUCCGCGCUGCAUUAGCUAGUUGGUAAGGUAACGGCUUACCAAGGCAACAUGCAUAGCCGACCUGAGAGGGUGAUCGGCCACACUGGAACUGAGACACGGUCCAGACUCCUACGGGAGCAGCAGGC
RNAcentral lists this ribosomal RNA (257 nucleotides) under uncultured Staphylococcus sp. RNAcentral's name for it is "partial 16S ribosomal RNA". It matches the Rfam family "Bacterial small subunit ribosomal RNA", at positions 103 to 354 of the family's 1533-position model. Lineage: Bacteria; Bacillati; Bacillota; Bacilli; Caryophanales; Staphylococcaceae. The record is from RNAcentral.